GACGAACGCUGGCGGCGUGCUUAACACAUGCAAGUCGAGCGGGGUCCAACCACUGGCAACAGUGGGGAAGACCUAGCGGCGAACGGGUGAGUAACACGUGAGGAACCUGCCCCAGAGACCGGGAUAACCCUCCGAAAGGAGAGCUAAUACCGGAUGCCCUUGCCGGAUCGCAUGAUCUGAUGAGGAAAUGGAUUCCGCUC
RNAcentral lists this ribosomal RNA (200 nucleotides) under uncultured bacterium. Its description in RNAcentral is "partial 16S ribosomal RNA". It matches the Rfam family "Bacterial small subunit ribosomal RNA", at positions 28 to 220 of the family's 1533-position model. The record is from RNAcentral.